GAAAUUGCCUCGAAGUGGGGGAUAGCCCGGAGAAAUCCGGAUUAAUACCGCAUGCGCUCUACGGAGCAAAGUGGGCCUCUGAUUUAAGCUCAUGCUUUGAGAUAUGCCUAUGUCGGAUUAGCUAGUUGGUAGGGUAAAAGCCUACCAAGGCGACGAUCCGUAGCUGGUCUGAGAGGAUGAUCAGCCACACUGGGACUGAGACACGGCCCAGACUCCUACGGGAGGCAGCAGUGGGGAAUAUUGCACAAUGGGCGCAAGCCUGAUGCAGCAAUGCCGCGUGUGUGAAGAAGGCCUGCGGGUUGUAAAGCACUUUUAUCGGGAAAGAAAAUCACAGGGUUAAUAACUCUGUGCCUUGACGGUACCCGAAGAAUAAGGACCGGCUAACUCAGUGCCAGCAGCCGCGGUAAUACUGAGGGUCCAAGCGUUAAUCGGAAUUACUGGGCGUAAAGCGAGUGUAGGCGGCUUCGUAAGUCGGAUGUGAAAGCCCCGGGCUUAACCUGGGAAUUGCAUUCGAAACUGCGCGGCUAGAGUUUGAUAGAGGAAAGUGGAAUUCCAGGUGUAGCGGUGAAAUGCGUA
This 576-nucleotide ribosomal RNA is filed under the name uncultured bacterium. RNAcentral describes it as "bacterial SSU rRNA". It matches the Rfam family "Bacterial small subunit ribosomal RNA", at positions 122 to 692 of the family's 1533-position model. The record is from RNAcentral.